CAGCCGCCGCGGUAAUACCGGCGGCCCGAGUGGCGGUCCCUAUUAUUGGGCUUAAAGCGUCCGUAGCCGGGUUGGGAAGUCCUCCGGGAAAUCUGGCCGCUUAACGGUCAGAAUGCCGGAGGAUACUCCCAGCCUAGGGAGCGGGAGAGGCCGAGGGUAUUCCCGGAGUAGGGGGGAAAUCCUAUAAUCCCGGGAGGACCACCUGUGGCGAAGGCGCUCGGCUGGAACGCGUCCGACGGUGAGGGACGAAGGCCAGGGGAGCAAACCGGAUUAGAUACCCGGGUAGUCCUGGCUGUAAACGAUGCGGACUUUGUGUCGGACAAGCUAUGAGCUUGUCCGGUGCCGGAGGGAAACCGUUAAGUCCGCCGCCUGGGGAGUACGGCCGCAAGGCUGAAACUUAAAGGAAUUGGCGGG
This 414-nucleotide ribosomal RNA is filed under the name uncultured microorganism. Its description in RNAcentral is "bacterial SSU rRNA". It matches the Rfam family "Archaeal small subunit ribosomal RNA", at positions 459 to 872 of the family's 1478-position model. The record is from RNAcentral.